RNAcentral lists this microRNA precursor (57 nucleotides) under Eptatretus burgeri (inshore hagfish). Lineage: Eukaryota; Metazoa; Chordata; Myxini; Myxiniformes; Myxinidae. The record is from RNAcentral.
AGCUGGUGUUGUGAAUCAGGCCGUGGAAUGAUUCCGACCGUUUCGCGACACCAGGGC